Molecule: ribosomal RNA, 403 nt
Filed under: bacterium
Lineage: Bacteria
Description: partial 16S ribosomal RNA
Rfam family: Bacterial small subunit ribosomal RNA
Source: RNAcentral
UGGGGAAUAUUGCACAAUGGAGGGAACUCUGAUGCAGCCACGCCGCGUGAACGAAGAAGGCUUUCGAGUCGUAAAGUUCUUUUAUAUGGGAAGAUAAUGACGGUACCAUAAGAAAAAGCCCCGGCUAACUACGUGCCAGCAGCCGCGGUAAUACGUAGGGGGCUAGCGUUGUCCGGAAUCACUGGGCGUAAAGGGUUCGCAGGCGGAAAUGCAAGUCAGGUGUAAAAGGCAGUAGCUUAACUACUGUAAGCAUUUGAAACUGCAUAUCUUGAGAAGAGUAGAGGUAAGUGGAAUUUUUAGUGUAGCGGUGAAAUGCGUAGAUAUUAAAAAGAAUACCGGUGGCGAAGGCGGCUUACUGGGCUCAUUCUGACGCUGAGGAACGAAAGCGUGGGUAGCAAACAGG